AGCGAACGCUGGCGGCAGGCUUAACACAUGCAAGUCGAGCGCCCCGCAAGGGGAGCGGCAGACGGGUGAGUAACACGUGGGAACGUACCCUUUGGUUCGGAACAACCCAGGGAAACUUGGGCUAAUACCGGAUACGUCCGUAAGGAGAAAGAUUUAUCGCCAAAGGAUCGGCCCGCGUCUGAUUAGCUAGUUGGUGAGGUAAUGGCUCACCAAGGCUACGAUCAGUAGCUGGUCUGAGAGGAUGAUCAGCCACAUUGGGACUGAGACCCGGCCCAAACUCCAGCGGGAGGCAGCAGUGGGGAAUAUUGGACAAUGGGGGCAACCCUGAUCCAGCCAUGCCGCGUGAGUGAUGAAGGCCCUAGGGUUGUAAAGCUCUUUUAGCAGGGAAGAUAAUGACGGUACCUGCAGAAAAAGCCCCGGCUAACUUCGUGCCAGCAGCCGCCGUAA
RNAcentral lists this ribosomal RNA (447 nucleotides) under uncultured bacterium. RNAcentral describes it as "partial 16S ribosomal RNA". It matches the Rfam family "Bacterial small subunit ribosomal RNA", at positions 29 to 523 of the family's 1533-position model. The record is from RNAcentral.